GAUGAACGCUGGCGGCGUGCCUAAUACAUGCAAGUCGAGCGAACAGACGAGGAGCUUGCUCCUCUGACGUUAGCGGCGGACGGGUGAGUAACACGUGGAUAACCUACCUAUAAGACUGGGAUAACUUCGGGAAACCGGAGCUAAUACCGGAUAAUAUAUUGAACCGCAUGGUUCAAUAGUGAAGGACGGUUUUGCUGUCACUUAUAGAUGGAUCCGCGCCGCAUUAGCUAGUUGGUAAGGUAACGGCUUACCAAGGCGACGAUGCGUAGCCGACCUGAGAGGGUGAUCGGCCACACUGGAACUGAGACACGGUCCAGACUCCUACGGGAGGCAGCAGUAGGGAAUCUUCCGCAAUGGGCGAAAGCCUGACGGAGCAACGCCGCGUGAGUGAUGAAGGUCUUCGGAUCGUAAAGCUCUGUUAUUAGGGAAGAACAAAUGUGUAAGUAACUAUGCACGUCUUGACGGUACCGAAUCAGAAAGCCACGGCUAACUACGUG
This 497-nucleotide ribosomal RNA is filed under the name uncultured bacterium. RNAcentral's name for it is "partial 16S ribosomal RNA". It matches the Rfam family "Bacterial small subunit ribosomal RNA", at positions 28 to 507 of the family's 1533-position model. The record is from RNAcentral.